RNAcentral lists this ribosomal RNA (1369 nucleotides) under uncultured bacterium. Its description in RNAcentral is "bacterial SSU rRNA". It matches the Rfam family "Bacterial small subunit ribosomal RNA", at positions 28 to 1381 of the family's 1533-position model. The record is from RNAcentral.
GACGAACGCUGGCGGCGUGCCUAAUACAUGCAAGUAGAACGCUGAAGAGAGGAGCUUGCUCUUCUUGGAUGAGUUGCGAACGGGUGAGUAACGCGUAGGUAACCUGCCUUGUAGCGGGGGAUAACUAUUGGAAACGAUAGCUAAUACCGCAUAACAAUGGAUGACACAUGUCAUUUAUUUGAAAGGGGCAAUUGCUCCACUACAAGAUGGACCUGCGUUGUAUUAGCUAGUAGGUGAGGUAACGGCUCACCUAGGCGACGAUACAUAGCCGACCUGAGAGGGUGAUCGGCCACACUGGGACUGAGACACGGCCCAGACUCCUACGGGAGGCAGCAGUAGGGAAUCUUCGGCAAUGGGGGCAACCCUGACCGAGCAACGCCGCGUGAGUGAAGAAGGUUUUCGGAUCGUAAAGCUCUGUUGUAAGUCAAGAACGAGUGUGAGAGUGGAAAGUUCACACUGUGACGGUAGCUUACCAGAAAGGGACGGCUAACUACGUGCCAGCAGCCGCGGUAAUACGUAGGUCCCGAGCGUUGUCCGGAUUUAUUGGGCGUAAAGCGAGCGCAGGCGGUUUGAUAAGUCUGAAGUUAAAGGCUGUGGCUCAACCAUAGUUCGCUUUGGAAACUGUCAAACUUGAGUGCAGAAGGGGAGAGUGGAAUUCCAUGUGUAGCGGUGAAAUGCGUAGAUAUAUGGAGGAACACCGGUGGCGAAAGCGGCUCUCUGGUCUGUAACUGACGCUGAGGCUCGAAAGCGUGGGGAGCGAACAGGAUUAGAUACCCUGGUAGUCCACGCCGUAAACGAUGAGUGCUAGGUGUUGGAUCCUUUCCGGGAUUCAGUGCAGCAGCUAACGCAUUAAGCACUCCGCCUGGGGAGUACGACCGCAAGGUUGAAACUCAAAGGAAUUGACGGGGGCCCGCACAAGCGGUGGAGCAUGUGGUUUAAUUCGAAGCAACGCGAAGAACCUUACCAGGUCUUGACAUCCCGAUGCUAUUUCUAGAGAUAGAAAGUUACUUCGGUACAUCGGUGACAGGUGGUGCAUGGUUGUCGUCAGCUCGUGUCGUGAGAUGUUGGGUUAAGUCCCGCAACGAGCGCAACCCCUAUUGUUAGUUGCCAUCAUUCAGUUGGGCACUCUAGCGAGACUGCCGGUAAUAAACCGGAGGAAGGUGGGGAUGACGUCAAAUCAUCAUGCCCCUUAUGACCUGGGCUACACACGUGCUACAAUGGUUGGUACAACGAGUUGCGAGUCGGUGACGGCAAGCUAAUCUCUUAAAGCCAAUCUCAGUUCGGAUUGUAGGCUGCAACUCGCCUACAUGAAGUCGGAAUCGCUAGUAAUCGCGGAUCAGCACGCCGCGGUGAAUACGUUCCCGGGCCC